Trichonephila inaurata madagascariensis is the source of this 72-nucleotide non-coding RNA. NCBI's taxonomy places the organism in Eukaryota, Metazoa, Arthropoda, Arachnida, Araneae, Nephilidae. The record is from the annotation of a GenBank genome assembly.
GGGGUUAUAGCUCAGUGGUACAGCAUUCGACUGCAGAUCGAGAGACUCAUGGUUCAAACCCGGAUGUUCCCU